CCCCAAACAUCCCCUUAACCCCUCUCCACCCCUGUCUUAUCUCCCCGGGCUAGCCCCCAAACGCCACUUUAACCCUCCCACGCGCCUCCCCCUUAACCCUCCCAGGCUAGUCCCCAAAUACCACCUUAACCCCCUCCACCACCCCCUUAACCCUCCCAGGCUAGUCCCCAAAUACCACCUUAACCCCCUCCACCACCCCCUUAACCCUCCCAGGCUAGCCCCCAAAUGCCCCCUCUGCCACCCCCUUAACCACACUGAGCUAGUCCCCCAAAAAACCCUUACCCCCCACACCAUCCCCUUAUCUGCCCUGGACUAGCCCCCAAAUGUCCCUUUAAUCUCCCAUCACUCCCUUAACUACCCAGGGCUAGUCCCCCAUGCCACUCCCUGAGCCACCCUCAAACACCUCCUUAAUGCCCAUGCUAACCCCCCUUAAUCCCUCUGUGGUACACAUUUUGUGCCACCCCCCUUAAACUUUCCAUGCUAGCCCCCCCCAAAACCCCUCAAACCCCUUAGGCUAGUCCCCUGUGCCAGGCCACCUCCUUAAUCUCUCUUAAAUCCCUGUCCCAGCCCCUCCACCAAAUGCCUAUGCCAACCCACUCCUCAGGCUUAACCACUCUCUUGCUAGUGUCAAAUCUCUCCCUAGCCCCCACCCCCCGACCUAUUCGCUGCUGCCAGUGCUUAACCUGUCCCUGUCCACUCUGCCAUGCAAAACACUCUCUACCAAAGAAAGCAUUCCGCUGCCACUGCCAAACCCCGCCUGACCACCAAACUCCUCUUUAAUGGUGUACCAAACCACGUUCAGCUGCUGGUGCCAAAUCCUUCCUUACCCUCUUCUCCGAUCACUCCGCUGCCAUUGCAGCCAACCCCAUCUCUAGCCUGCCCUUUACCUUCUACUACAGGUUGAACCUCUCUAGUCCACCCUCAGGACCUGAUGGAUGCCAAACCACGGGAGGUCAAAGCAGAGUGCGAGCGGGUCGUCAUAGGUGCAGGUCUCCAUAGGCGCAGCAUCUCCAGGCUUUAGGCGCAGCAUGGUCCCUCGCCCAGGGGCCCCACUGCCACCCAGGAUCCUGGCCGCUGGCCCCCUACCCGGGGGCUCCAAUGCUGGCCCCAUGUCCUAGCUGGUGGCCACAGGUCCUCCCUUUCCCUUCCAGAGAUUGAACACCAUGAAUCAGCUGUUCGCGGCACUCCAGAAGCACUGGGAGGGAGAGAGGAGGAGUUGGAGGAGGAGGUUUGGCAGAGGGUGUGUGCCACACACACACACACAAUGUAAUUCUGCCUGAUCACGGCAGGGAAAUUUAUCUUUCAGGUGUCAAUUCUGGAAGGACUGAACACUGACUCUAAUUGAAGGAGCUAGAGAAACUCAUUGCUACUAAUUCACUGCAAUCAUAAUUAUCACCCUAACAGAUGCUGGCAGGCUGGAAGCUGCACCAGCCCUCCCAUACAGUAGAACUCUGGAUUAGCUUCUCUGCUGUCAAUGACUUUUAAAGUCACACUGAAGUUGGGGAAAACAUCUGUUUUCCAGAGAAAUUAGGGGAGGAUUUGUUGAGAAGACCAAUAUUAUGGCCAAAUGGCUUGUGUACGCUACCGGCCGGAUUGAUGGGCAGCGAUCAACCCAGUGGGGGUUAAUAAAUCGACCGCAGAUUGCUCUAGCAUCGACUCUGGUACUCCACCUCAAUGAGAAGCACAAGGGGAAUGAACGAGAGCGUCUCCUGUUGACACACCGCGAUCGUUGGCCACGCAUUCUCCAGAAAUCUGCCCUGUCACUCGAGCCAUCUCUUUGGGCAUUCUGAACACUGGCCAUCUGCUCGGCUCUGAAAGGAACAGCAUGGAAUCCAUUUGAAAAAUGCAAUCAAAGGGAAAACAUGCCACACUAAAGAAAGAACCUCAGCAAGACCCAGGAUAUGACUUUGUAACUACAGUGGACAACUUGGCAGAUACCGUGGCUGAAGGGGAAGGCAGCAAGGAGUAGCAUCUUGGCUGCUGAAGGCAGAAGCUACUGGGCAUAGGAGACAAGAACUAAAUGGCGGAGGUUCAGAGCUAGCAAGAGGUGCUUAUUACAGGCUGGGUGGAUGAGUAGAGGAGCAGGGCUCAUCUUUGACCAGCUGAGUGGUGAAGUGGCCAACCCACCUCUCCUCCUCCACGUGACCAGGAUGGGAGUCAGCUGGACACAAAAGCAAUAAUUUUCUACAAUACUUAAAAUGAGGGCAAUUAAAAAGUGUUUUGAAAUGUGAGAAAUGAGAAAGAGCAUUUGUGAAAUCCCCAGCAAAACACAGCUGAGUUGAAAGGCCUACUGUUCUUUUCAAUGCCUGUCAUACUGAAUCAUAACAAACAUUGUCACACCUUUGGUGCCAGGUGCUUACCUUCAUAUUUGCUCUGAGCCAAAAUGGUCACAGUUUCACCUUUGGGAAUUUCUAACAAGUAGAGAACAGCAUCCUCCCGCACAAUGCCUCUAAA
Long non-coding RNA from Mauremys mutica (yellowpond turtle), 2454 nucleotides. RefSeq lists it as uncharacterized. The transcript is spliced from 7 exons. NCBI's taxonomy places the organism in Eukaryota, Metazoa, Chordata, Testudines, Geoemydidae. The record is from RefSeq and is a predicted model, not a curated record.